CAAAUGAAUUGACGGGGCCCGCACAAGCAGUGGAGUAUGUGGUUUAAUUCGAAGCAACGCGAAGAACCUUACCAGGGCUUGACAUCCCUCGAAUUGCAUGGAAACAUGCAAGUCCUUCGGGACGAGGAGACAGGUGGUGCAUGGUUGUCGUCAGCUCGUGUCGUGAGAUGUUGGGUUAAGUCCCGCAACGAGCGCAACCCUUGUUGUUAGUUGCCAUCAAGUAAAGUUGGGCACUCUAACGAGACUGCCGGUGAUAAAUCGGAGGAAGGUGGGGAUGACGUCAAAUCAUCAUGCCCUUUAUGUCCUGGGCUACACACGUACUACAAUGGCUGCUACAGAGGGCAGCGAAGCCGCAAGGCGAAGCGAAUCCCAAAAAAGCGGUCUCAGUUCGGAUUGUGGGCCGCAACCCGCCCGCAUGAAGCCGGAAUUGCUAGUAAUGGCAGGUCAGCAUACUGCCGUGAAUACGUUCCCGGGCCUU
This 478-nucleotide ribosomal RNA is filed under the name uncultured Oscillospiraceae bacterium. RNAcentral describes it as "bacterial SSU rRNA". It matches the Rfam family "Bacterial small subunit ribosomal RNA", at positions 902 to 1382 of the family's 1533-position model. Lineage: Bacteria; Bacillati; Bacillota; Clostridia; Eubacteriales; Oscillospiraceae. The record is from RNAcentral.